This is a long non-coding RNA of Topomyia yanbarensis, 437 nucleotides long. RefSeq lists it as uncharacterized. NCBI's taxonomy places the organism in Eukaryota, Metazoa, Arthropoda, Insecta, Diptera, Culicidae. The transcript is spliced from 3 exons. The record is from RefSeq and is a predicted model, not a curated record.
UCAGGACGUUUUCCUAUACAUUGUACCCGGUCGAAGCGAUGGCAAGCGAUGCAGAUAACUGGGUCAAAAAGGCGGAGGUUCUGGGAAUUUCUGCACUCGUUAGCGAUCUGAGUAUGACCAAGGACAAGGAAUCAGAACCGGCGACUGACAGUCCAGAGAAAGAGAAUGCGGAAAAACCUUCUAGUCCAUAGCUCCUGAAGAAAAACGAGCUGAAGCGAAUAUGGAGAAACAGCUUCCUCCACGGAAAAUGCAGAGGCAUGCAACGCGGCGGAUGCAAGUUUGCUAAUUGAAAUUAUUCGCAAAGAUCUAGUAGAAUUAAAACUGGAGGUGCUGCGAAACGAUCCUUUUUCGACGCUAUACUCGGUUAAAACUAUCGACGCUUUGCACCUGAUGCCGGAACUGCCCACCCCGAGAGCAGAUGAGCGCUGGGGAAUGUU